GAUCAUGGCUCAGGAUGAACGCUGGCGGCGUGCCUAACACAUGCAAGUCGAACGGAGUUAUCGGAGCUUGCUUGAUAACUUAGUGGCGGACGGGUGAGUAAUGUAUGAGCAACCUGCCUUUCAGAGGGGGACAACAGUUGGAAACGACUGCUAAUACCGCAUAAUGUGCGAGGGGGGCAUCCCUUUUGUACCAAAGGAGCAAUCCGCUGAAAGAUGGGCUCAUAUCUGAUUAGUUAGUUGGCAGGGUAACGGCCUACCAAGACUGCGAUCAGUAGCCGGACUGAGAGGUUGAACGGCCACAUUGGGACUGAGAUACGGCCCAGACUCCUACGGGAGGCAGCAGUGGGGAAUAUUGGGCAAUGGGCGAAAGCCUGACCCAAGCAACGCCGCGUGAAGGAAGAAGGUCUUCGGAUUGUAACUUCUUUUAUGAGGGACGAAGGACGUGACGGUACCUCAUGAAUAAGCCACGGCUAACUACGUGCCAGCAGCAGC
This 492-nucleotide ribosomal RNA is filed under the name uncultured bacterium. RNAcentral describes it as "bacterial SSU rRNA". It matches the Rfam family "Bacterial small subunit ribosomal RNA", at positions 15 to 518 of the family's 1533-position model. The record is from RNAcentral.